GAUGAACGCUGGCGGCGUGCUUAACACAUGCAAGUCGAACGAAGCACUUUAUUACGAUUUCUUCGGAAUGACGAUUUAGUGACUGAGUGGCGGACGGGUGAGUAACGCGUGGGUAACCUGCCUUAUACAGGGGGAUAACAGUUAGAAAUGACUGCUAAUACCGCAUAAGCGCACAGGAUUGCAUGAUCUGGUGUGAAAAACUCCGGUGGUAUAAGAUGGACCCGCGUCUGAUUAGCUGGUUGGUGAGGUAACGGCCCACCAAGGCGACGAUCAGUAGCCGACCUGAGAGGGUGACCGGCCACAUUGGGACUGAGACACGGCCCAAACUCCUACGGGAGCAGCAGUGGGGAAUAUUGCACAAUGGGGGAAACCCUGAUGCAGCGACGCCGCGUGAGCGAAGAAGUAUUUCGGUAUGUAAAGCUCUAUCAGCAGGGAGAAAAAAUGACGGUACCUGACUAAGAAGCCCCGGCUAACUACGUGCCAGCAG
RNAcentral lists this ribosomal RNA (487 nucleotides) under uncultured bacterium. Its description in RNAcentral is "bacterial SSU rRNA". It matches the Rfam family "Bacterial small subunit ribosomal RNA", at positions 28 to 514 of the family's 1533-position model. The record is from RNAcentral.